UCAUAUUUGCUAUUGUGCAUAAAUAAAAACAGAGAAAGAGAAGAAGAAGGAAAGGAAGAAUGAAAGAAAGGAAGAAUGAAAGAAAGAAAGAAGAAAGGAAAAGAAGGGAGAGAGAGAAAGGAGUUCAGUAGCCCUCUACUGUUGCUGCAUCUGCUAUUAUGAGUGCUAUUGCUGCCAUGCAUGCACUCCCUUGUGCUAUUCACAGUAAGAGGAUGCUGCCAAGAUGUUGCUCCAGUUGGGACUUGGAAUUCAGAGUUGCAUGGCUGAUGAUAGAGUUGCCUACAUACCCCCGAGAAAACAAGAGAGAUAAUAAAUUCCAACCCGACCCAGUGGAUUGAGCUAGGGAACCUGAUAUGUAUACCUGGUGAGGAUUCGCGAGAUCGGAAAUUUAGUGAAAGACACCAGAAUUGGGAAUUUCAGAACAUGAAAUGGCAGCGAAAACUUUAACUCAAAGAUCCCCUGGAAUUAAUGCAGCCGGUUGAAAAAUGAAGCCUUUUGCAUAUGGUCAUGAAGGAUGAAAGAUUGUAGAGCUUUUAGCUAUAAUAUCAAGCAGAACAUUUCGUUGAAAUUUUCUAAAUGGAACUGUGUACAUAUUAUUUACUAAUGGUUCGCAAUAUAAACUGGCCAUGAAUUAUGAAGUAUGUCUAUGAUAUGUGUUUGCCAUAAGUAGGUUCAGGACAUUGUGUCUCUUGCUUUCAUCCUAGCGAAUGAACAGGCCCUGAGAGUUUGGUGUAUUUUGUAUAUUGAGAAAUAAAUUGUAUAUUCUGUUUUCUUUU
This is a long non-coding RNA of Macadamia integrifolia, 776 nucleotides long. RefSeq lists it as uncharacterized. The record is from RefSeq and is a predicted model, not a curated record. The transcript is spliced from 3 exons. NCBI's taxonomy places the organism in Eukaryota, Viridiplantae, Streptophyta, Magnoliopsida, Proteales, Proteaceae.